This 391-nucleotide ribosomal RNA is filed under the name uncultured bacterium. Its description in RNAcentral is "bacterial SSU rRNA". It matches the Rfam family "Bacterial small subunit ribosomal RNA", at positions 28 to 437 of the family's 1533-position model. The record is from RNAcentral.
GACGAACGCUGGCGGCGUGCUUAACACAUGCAAGUCGAGCGGAAAGGCCCUUCGGGGUACUCGAGCGGCGAACGGGUGAGUAACACGUGGGAACGUGCCUUUUGGUUCGGAACAACUCAGGGAAACUUGAGCUAAAUACCGGAUGUGCCCUUCGGGGGAAAGGAUUUAUCGCCAUUAGAGCGGCCCGCGUCUGAUUAGCUAGUUGGUGGGGUAAAGGCCUACCAAGGCUACGAUCAGUAGCUGGUCUGAGAGGAUGAUCAGCCACAUUGGGACUGAGACACGGCCCAAACUCCUACGGGAGGCAGCAGUGGGGAAUCUUGCGCAAUGGGCGAAAGCCUGACGCAGCCAUGCCGCGUGAAUGAUGAAGGUCUUAGGAUUGUAAAAUUCUUUC